GUGGGGAAUUUUGGACAAUGGGCGCAAGCCUGAUCCAGCAAUGCCGCGUGCAGGAAGAAGGCCUUCGGGUUGUAAACUGCUUUUGUACGGAACGAAACGGUCCUGGUUAAUACCUGGGGCUAAUGACGGUACCGUAAGAAUAAGCACCGGCUAACUACGUGCCAGCAGCCGCGGUAAUACGUAGGGUGCAAGCGUUAAUCGGAAUUACUGGGCGUAAAGCGUGCGCAGGCGGUUUUGUAAGAUCGAUGUGAAAUCCCCGGGCUCAACCUGGGAACUGCAUUGGUGACUGCAAGGCUGGAGUGCGGCAGAGGGGGAUGGAAUUCCGCGUGUAGCAGUGAAAUGCGUAGAUAUGCGGAGGAACACCGAUGGCGAAGGCAAUCCCCUGGGCCUGCACUGACGCUCAUGCACGAAAGCGUGGGGAGCAAACAGGAUUAGAAACCCCUGUAGUCC
RNAcentral lists this ribosomal RNA (450 nucleotides) under uncultured bacterium. Its description in RNAcentral is "partial 16S ribosomal RNA". It matches the Rfam family "Bacterial small subunit ribosomal RNA", at positions 354 to 796 of the family's 1533-position model. The record is from RNAcentral.